UGGGGAAUCUUGCACAAUGGGGGCAACCCUGAUGCAGCGACGCCGCGUGAGCGAUGAAGCCCUUCGGGGCGUAAAGCUCUUUCGACCGGAACGAUAAUGACGGUACCGGGAGAAGAAGCUGCGGCUAACUACGUGCCAGCAGCCGCGGUAAUACGUAGGCAGCAAGCGUUGUUCGGAGUUACUGGGCGUAAAGAGUGCGUAGGCGGUUUUCUAAGUUCGGUGUGAAAUCUCCCGGCUUAACUGGGAGGGUGCGCCGAAGACUGGGAAGCCGGAGUGUGGGAAAGGCAGGCGGAAUUCCUGGUGUAGCGGUGAAAUGCGUAGGUAUCAGGAGGAACACCGGCGGUGUAGACGGCUUGCUAGACCAUAACUGACGUUGAGGCACGAAAGCGUGGGUAGCAAACA
This 402-nucleotide ribosomal RNA is filed under the name uncultured bacterium. RNAcentral describes it as "bacterial SSU rRNA". It matches the Rfam family "Bacterial small subunit ribosomal RNA", at positions 355 to 774 of the family's 1533-position model. The record is from RNAcentral.